This 378-nucleotide unclassified non-coding RNA is filed under the name Hevea brasiliensis (rubber tree). Lineage: Eukaryota; Viridiplantae; Streptophyta; Magnoliopsida; Malpighiales; Euphorbiaceae. The record is from RNAcentral.
GGAAUCCACGUAUUUUAAUUCUUGACCAUGCCAUCGUCUCGAAGUCAAGCGUGUACAAGUCAUUUAACGUCCUGGACUUUGACGAUCCACCAAAAAUCAAGAGUAAUUUAUCAUCAUAGAGGGCAGACACAUGGUUUGAUCUUGGCGAAGGACCUGUUCCCGUGCAAUGAAGUGGCAGCCAUGUCAAGGAUUUAAGAUCAAACAUAUGCAGAUCGUUUAGCUUCCUCCUCUUUAUGUCUUCACCCCCAAAUAAAAUCAAAACUGAGCUUGCUCUAAGGACAGUAUGACCACUACGUGCAACCGGAACGUCUCCCUUUGCUUCCAGAAGUGACCAGCAUUCAGUUUCAGUGUCAAACGCCCAGACUGAGACUUUGUCAC